UACGGAGGAUGCGAGCGUUAUCCGGAUUUAUUGGGUUUAAAGGGUGCGCAGGCGGAUUUUUAAGUCAGCGGUCAAAUCGUGGGGCUCAACCCCAUCCAGCCGUUGAGACUGGGGAUCUAGAGUGUGCGAGAGGUAUGCGGAAUGCGUGGUGUAGCGGUGAAAUGCAUAGAUAUCACGCAGAACCCCGAUUGCGAAGGCAGCAUACCGGUGCACAACUGACGCUCAGGCACGAAAGCGUGGGUAUCGAACAGG
RNAcentral lists this ribosomal RNA (252 nucleotides) under uncultured bacterium. RNAcentral's name for it is "partial 16S ribosomal RNA". It matches the Rfam family "Bacterial small subunit ribosomal RNA", at positions 524 to 776 of the family's 1533-position model. The record is from RNAcentral.